This 465-nucleotide ribosomal RNA is filed under the name Vreelandella stevensii. RNAcentral describes it as "partial 16S ribosomal RNA". It matches the Rfam family "Bacterial small subunit ribosomal RNA", at positions 338 to 795 of the family's 1533-position model. Lineage: Bacteria; Pseudomonadati; Pseudomonadota; Gammaproteobacteria; Oceanospirillales; Halomonadaceae. The record is from RNAcentral.
CCUACGGGUGGCUGCAGUGGGGAAUAUUGGACAAUGGGGGGAACCCUGAUCCAGCCAAGCCGCGUGUGUGAAGAAGGCCCUCGGGUUGUAAAGCACUUUCAGUGAGGAAGAACGCCUGGUGGUUAAUACCCAUCAGGAAAGACAUCACUCACAGAAGAAGCACCGGCUAACUCCGUGCCAGCAGCCGCGGUAAUACGGAGGGUGCGAGCGUUAAUCGGAAUUACUGGGCGUAAAGCGAGCGUAGGUGGCUUGAUAAGCCGGUUGUGAAAGCCCCGGGCUCAACCUGGGAACGGCAUCCGGAACUGUCAAGCUAGAGUGCAGGAGAGGAAGGUAGAAUUCCCGGUGUAGCGGUGAAAUGCGUAGAGAUCGGGAGGAAUACCAGUGGCGAAGGCGGCCUUCUGGACUGACACUGACACUGAGGUGCGAAAGCGUGGGUAGCAAACAGGAUUAGAUACCCCAGUAGUC